GGGCGGGGAGGCGAGGGGGUGGGAAGGGAAGGGUCACAGGAGAAUGAUUACCCAAUAACCCAAUGGGGUACAGAAGCGUAUACACUCUUUUUCAUAGGGGAAGGGGAGAGAUGGAGAAUAUAGACAAUUCUUCUGAGGGCAGCAAGUGAUUCUUAGGGCGAAAAAAUGGACAGAAAUUAACUUGUAAAUGAUUCUCUUUAGAAUUUGAAUGAGCCCGAGAAACAGGCAUCAUCUUGUGAAAAAUCCAUCCAGGCGUAGUUGCCUUCCUCAGUCUUCUUUUCUGAGCUAGAUGAGAUUUCGGAGAGGGGAGGAAGGCAAUUUUGUUUCUUUUGGAAAGACGUUUUCUCGAUCAGAUUAGGAAAUUCUAGAGAGAGUGCCUCCCUAUACUUGGGAGAGAAGGUUAGAGGGACCUUGAUUCUGAGGCAGCUUCGAAGGCCUCUCAGCAUGUCAAAGCGCCAGUCUUUGGGGUAUCGCUUUCUGAGCCCCAACAGUACAAAUAAAUAUUUAGGAGACCGUUGUUAGCAGAACCUGCUCACUAACUGAAUAUGUGGAGAGGAGAAGGGAACAGAACUGUCCAGAGUAACUGGCAUUUGGUCAGCCAAUCAUGUGCUAGGCAAUGGGGAUGCAAAAAUGACUGGGACCAACCUGCCUCCAGAGUUCUCUGACUAAAGAAACAGAUGGGUCUACAAAAUGUCAAUAGAAUGUAAGAAAUGUGAUGACAGAAGUAUACACACGCAGCACAGAGGAGGAUCUUCAGCCCAGCCAGGAAGAUUCAGGGAAGGCUCCCUAGAGGAACCAAGCCUUGAGCUGAGUCUUGAGUCAUGGCUAGCAGUUCCCUCAAGCAGAAUUGCUGAGGGGCUCAGGAGCAUAGACUGAGAAAUCAGAUAGCCAUGGGUUCAAAUCCUGACUCUUGUCUGCUUAUCUCAGAAAAGCUAUUUACACUCUUUGUUUUUAAAAAAAGACAAUAAUAGUACCCACUCCUAGGGUUGCUAUGAGUAUUAAAUCACCUAAAUGUGUAUAAAGUGCUUGGCAUAGUAGUUUGCACCUUCUCAGUGCUCAGUAAAUGGUUAUUGACAUGUUAAGUAUUUCCCAACUGUAUUGCUCCUUCUGUAAUGUCCUAUGUCCAUUCGUGGCAUUACUCAUUCAUUAAGCCAGAAAUCUGAGUGACACCUUCAAGGCUCAUGUGUGUACGUGGACCAUCUCUUGCUUUUCCAAAGUUGUCUACCAAACCAGUCUAUAAAACGUUCAUGCCACUCCUCUGUUCAAAACCCUUCUAUGGCUCCCUACAGCCCACAAGACCCAGGCCACCUGCCUCAAUGAGACCCAAACACUGAUAUAAUCAAGUCUCUGUGCUCCCAAUGUCUCUUCCUCUUCCAAGCCUUUGCACAGCUGUUCCCUGAUCUUGGAACAUUCUUCCCAGCCCUGGCCCUCCUUCAGCAGCUAAUCUCUAAUCAUCUUUCUGGCACUUACUCCUGUAUUUUAACUGCUUGCUUAUUUGUCUGUUUUUCCCAUAUGACCAUAAGUUCCAUUAAGGGUAGAAACUACAUCUUGUUCAGGGCUAUUCCUGUGGCGCCCAAAAGUGAUAAAUGUCUGCUGGAUAAAUGAAUGAGAAGAAUUAGCUGACCCAGUGUGGCCCAGAAAAGCAGCCAAUCCUGAAGGCUUUUCCUCCUGCCUGGAGGUGACACACCAACCCAAAGGACUGCUCAAGGAGUGGAAAGGGGCUUUCUGGGUGGAGACUGCCAUCAGCCCUCUCUGGUCUAAGAAGCCUGCAAAGCUAAAAGCUCAUGAUUUGGCAUUAGACCUGGGUCCACCACAUUUAGUCCUGUGACCUCAGACAGGUCUUGUAACCUGCCCUGAGCUUUGGCUUUCUCUUCUAUUGUAAGGACCAGCCACAUUCAUGUAAAGCACUCACCCCUUGCCUGACCCACACUGACCACUCAAUAAAGCCAUCGAUACUAGGUUCUGGUUGCCAUUU
Molecule: long non-coding RNA, 1975 nt
Filed under: Homo sapiens (human)
Lineage: Eukaryota; Metazoa; Chordata; Mammalia; Primates; Hominidae
Description: HSALNT0004744
Source: RNAcentral